CCCUUAGAUGUUCUGGGCCGCACGCGCGCUACACUGAAGGCAUCAGCGCGUCCUUCCCUCCCCGAGAGGGGCGGGUAACCCGCUGAACCGCUUUCGUGGUAGGGAUCGGGGCUUGCAAUUAUUCCCCGUGAACCAGGAAUUCCCAGUAAGCGCGAGUCAUAAGCUCGCGUUGAUUACGUCCCUGCCCUUUGUACACACCGCCCGUCGCUACUACCGAUUGAACGUUUUAGUGAGGUAUUUGGAUCGGACCUGAAGGGGUUCACGCCCUUUCUGUGUCUGAGAAGACUCCCAAACUUGAGCGUUUAGAGGAAGUAAAAGUCGUAACA
This 326-nucleotide ribosomal RNA is filed under the name uncultured eukaryote. RNAcentral describes it as "partial 18S ribosomal RNA". It matches the Rfam family "Eukaryotic small subunit ribosomal RNA", at positions 1470 to 1796 of the family's 1831-position model. The record is from RNAcentral.